RNAcentral lists this ribosomal RNA (352 nucleotides) under uncultured bacterium. Its description in RNAcentral is "bacterial SSU rRNA". It matches the Rfam family "Bacterial small subunit ribosomal RNA", at positions 8 to 350 of the family's 1533-position model. The record is from RNAcentral.
AGAGUUUGAUCCUGGCUCAGGAUGAACGCUAGCUACAGGCUUAACACAUGCAAGUCGAGGGGAAACGACAUCGAAAGCUUGCUUUUGAUGGGCGUCGACCGGCGCACGGGUGAGUAACGCGUAUCCAACCUGCCCACCACUUGGGGAUAACCUUGCGAAAGUAAGACUAAUACCCAAUGAUAUCUCUAGAAGACAUCUGAAAGAGAUUAAAGAUUUAUCGGUGAUGGAUGGGGAUGCGUCUGAUUAGCUUGUUGGCGGGGUAACGGCCACCAAGGCUACGAUCAGUAGGGGUUCUGAGAGGAAGGUCCCCCANAUUGGAACUGAGACACGGUCCAAACUCCUACGGGAGACA